GGUUCAGCUGGAAAAGGGGUUACUAGGGAACUAAUUAGGUUCAGCUGGCUCCAACUGCUUGUGACCUUUUAAAACCCUCCCCUGCAUGGAGGGUGGGGGGGAGAGAUAGUGAGGGAAGUUGUUAGUAGGCUGGGUGCAGCAAGACACUGAACCCUUUCAGGAAGGCAGGCUGCACUCCCCUUCCCCUCCAGAAGGGAAGGAAAACAAGCACAAGGGACUGACUGGGGAAAGGACUAGCCAGACCCUGUGCUACUGGUAAGGAUUUGCCUUGCCCAAGCCUGUGUCUCCAAGGCUAAAAAGGACUGAGCCUGCUGCGAAGAAGCACUUCUUGAGCCCCAGCGUCCUGGACAAAUUCCAGCUCAGGUUUGUUACACUAUACCAUCUUUACCUCAAAGUUUAAGUGAUAUGAGACGUCUUCUGGGUCACUGGCUGAGCAUCCCUCCACAUAAUCAAGAAAGACAGCUGUGCUGCUAGUGGACAACUUCUCAGACAGCAAAUUCCAGUUUUCAGAAAUGUACCUCUCCCACACCUUUUAAUAAAGAAACUUUUUAAGAUGUUCCAAACAAAAUUGCUAAAACUGUGGAGACAUCAAGACAUAGGACACUUCACAUAUUGAGACAGAAAUUUUGCCAAAGACACAAAUUGAAACAAAAGUCUCCAUCUUUAAUUCAUUGUCUGUAGGUUACUCUGAGAUCAGAGGACAUCUGAUAAGUGGAAAUUAUAUUAUAUUAUUAAUUUAUUAAUAACUUUGCUUUAUGACUUAUGCUGUUGAUGGGACUUUUCAGAUAGAGGUGAAUGACAAUUGCAAAGUGCAUUUUUUUAAAUCAAACAAAAAAACUUAUUUAUGAGGCCAAAUUGUUACAAGUGAUGUAAAAAUACAUGCAUCAUAGUUCUAUCUAUUGUGGUUAUAAGUAUGCAUUUGAUGGCCUAUUUUCCUGAAAUUCACCAUUUAUCAUCAAGCAAUUAAUAACACAAAAUUUCCAUUUAACAGAAGUAAAACAAAGGCAAAGGAAAAAAAUUGCAUGAAAACUAUUACUUACCAUUUUAUGCCAUUUCU
This is a long non-coding RNA of Mauremys reevesii (Reeves's turtle), 1057 nucleotides long. RefSeq lists it as uncharacterized. The transcript is spliced from 3 exons. The record is from RefSeq and is a predicted model, not a curated record. Lineage: Eukaryota; Metazoa; Chordata; Testudines; Geoemydidae.